UAAUAUUUUUAUUGCACAGCGGUGACUGUAUGUACUUUUGAUCUAUUUCGUAAACGCCCGAAACAAUGACGUCAAACACGUUAGAUCAUUUUGGCGGACUAAAUAUUUGUUUGAUCAAGUUGCACACCUGCGCUGUGCUGUGUGUAAUAAUUCCACCGGAUUAUUCGAUCCAUUCCCGGCGAUGAGUUUUUCACCAGCCCAGCAAAAGUACCGUUGCCCGUCGUGUGCGGUAAUCGAUUAGCCUUUUCGUCCGGCGCGUGAUGAUUAUUAACAUAUAGAUAUAAAUUAUUCACAGCCUCUCUUAUAAGACUUAUGCACACCUUUCCCAUCUCUGUGUGCGAGGGCUAAAACAUACGGGCCAAAAUGUCUUGUACGUACGUGUAAUCGUUCAAAAAAGGCCAAGACACAAACACACACAAUCGUCUGUGCUCGCCGAGGGACCUCACGCCGUGACACGCGCUUUUGUGUCUGUCUGUAAUAGACCCCGAAUAAUAUAGUAAGCCCACGCCCUUUUUUCUUUCCUUUUUCUUUUAUGCAUUCAAUAGACAAUUGAUUUGGCUUUGACGAUCUUAUCGAGGCUCUUUUUCUCUCCGGUCUGGGUCCUAAAUGCGCCCGUAGCAUCGGCGGGAUUAUUCAAAUUCUAUCCCAUCGCAUUCCUUUUCGGAGAGCGCGCAUCUCUCCAUCAAAAAAUGCGAUGGACCACCCUCGAAAAAAUGGUGGAAAACUAUAGACAAGUCGCACCAUUACAUCCAUUUUUACAUCAUCUCCAUUUUCGCCAGUCGUUCCUUUUGUUCUGUUUCACAAAAGAAGAAAAAACGUUCGUGAAAAAAAUCAUUCGGUGAAAUUUUCUAUUUUUUAAUCCACAGAAUUAUAUUUCCACGUUGUAAUAAAAAUAAAAAAUAAAUGAUAUGGCGGAUAGUGUGUGUCUUAUUUUCUUUUUCGGGGGGGAAUAACAAAAGUCGUGACUCCCGAAACAAAAAAAAAAAAAUUCUUUCGAGUUGGUUUUGUUGGUUGUUUCUAAAUAGUUACGUAUUAGUAACAUUUUAUGGAGUGUAUUAACAUUUUCUUUUUUUAUUUAUUUAUUUUUUUAUCCUUUUCACGAAAUGCGACAAAACAUUUUGAAAGGUGACCGUGAACCUCGUCUCCACCGGCAGUUCACACAUGUUUUGUAUCACAGCCAGAGUCCAGCAGGGCUCUGCUGCUGCUGGCCCCGGAUGACUUUCAUUCUUCUUUUUUUUUUAUCUUUUCCGUGCCCUCGGGCGGGUAUAACUUGAAAACACUUAAAUCCCGAGAUCCUUUUUUUUUUUACAUAUACGUCCAAACACACACACACACACACACACAGAUGGUUGGCUGUGUCGUGAAUGCUGAUUAUAUAUUUAUUUUGAAAAUAAAAUCUAUCGACGUCAGCGUAAAAUUGUUUGAAGUUUUCUGGCCAGUAAAUAUAUAUUUUCACCCCCCUCCACAGAAAUUUGCAUAAAUUGCGCAAUCCAGAUUUUUAUUGAGCAUUGUUUUUUGGUUUUUUUUUAAACGUUUCGUGACAAAUUUCGCCGUAGUUCCGCGAGCGUGAUUGUAGCCAAGAUGGUCAGCCCCGAUAAUAAUUUAUCUCGAAUUUAAAACGUUUUUCUUUUUUUUUUCAAAAAAAGUCUAAUAACUAACGAGUAUUUAGCCGCUGACCUGACGCUGUAUAUAUAAUUGUUGCAAAGUCGUAAACAUUUUCAUAGGUGGGAAAAAAAAGUAUAUAAAUACAAAUUUUUUUUUUUCUUUUCUUACCUGAUUAGAAAAAAGCCGAUAGCUAAGAAAAAAAAAUUUUGUUACGAUCAAUUUCAUUCUCGAGAGACUCGGUUAUUUUUAGGAACCCCCAGAGCGCGUUCGUUUGAAAAAAAAAAUAGCGCCACCUUCGGGAUUUGAACCUCGGCAAAAGUCAUUGGCACAAACGAUCGUUAUUUUUAGGUUUUUAUCAAAAGCCGAUCGUCGUCGGGACAAAAAUCAUCAUUUGUGUAUUUUCCUCGUCGACCUUGUAAUUUUGUUUUCGCUCGUGUUAUAUAGCCUUGCCAAAGGUGGUAGAAGAGUCAAAUAUUAUUAUAUAGACUCGUCUCGCAUGAAACACAUUUCGGCUGGUUAAUAACAAAAUAGCAAAAAAGAAGAAACAUGUAGAGCCCCCACAAGGUUGGAAUAAUCUUCGCAUUGACCAGUCAACGCACUCGACCACUAAAGGAAAACCUGAAUUAUGUUUUUUUGAACAAACUGCGUCGUUCGUUAUCACCACCAGCGCGCCGUAGAAUGUGUUUGUGCGUAUUUUUUAGUACAGAGAGAGAAAAUAAACCAAAUGAGCUUAAAAAAACCGCCUUUUUUAUUUUUCAAAUAGACUCGGACCGGAAUGAGUCCGGUUGCCUACACACACACACAAACUGGCGCAAUUUAUGACGACGCACAAAAUACGCCGAGUCCUUUUUUUUAUUUAACAAUUUGCAACUUUUGAAAAUGAGUCGGAAAGAAAAUGGUAAUUAUCCGCUUAAGAAAAUGUCCGAAUAUUUUCCGUAUCAUUUUUUAACGAGAUGGACGUUGUCCGGAAUUUAUUCCGACGGCGCCAGUGGAAAUAUCUAGAAGAAGUAGGAGGAGUGAACCUGUUGGGAUAUGAUUAUCAUAUAUGUGUUCUAGACGCAAUAACCUAUAGGCUAUUUCGUUUGUUAUAUAAAAUAAAGAACGAAGAAGAAGAAAAUGGAUUUGCCAUCGCCGCCAAACGUCUUGCGCAGCAUUUUUAUCGGGCAAGAAUAUCGACUCGGUUAAACGCAAUUCGAUGAAAUCCAUUAGCAUUUUUCUUUCGGUUAUUCCCAUUUCAAGUCUAGACAAUUACGUCAAAUUUAUCAGACCAAAUGGAAAAAUUGAAUAAACUCGUUUUUUUUUCGAAUUUCCCGCCGUCAUUCAAAUCAAAUUGAUUUGAACGAUUAAAAUGGAAAUUUCGCGGGAAAAACAAAACAAAAAAAAAAACAAAAUAAAGAUAUCCGGGUUUACUUUUAAUGUCAAAAUGCACUUUAUCAAGUCUUAAUAUUUUGAACAAUAAAUUUAAAAAUAAAACGCGCGAUUUUUGAAAAAAAUUAAGAAAUUUAUGAUAUAUUUUCUUUCCAACACCAAAGAAUUCUUUUUUACCAUUCCAAAUAUGAAGGUAUAUAAUAGCAUACACGUGAAUAUGCUAUAUAUCUGGCGGACUAACGGUGAAUGGCUUGCCCAGCAAGAACACGAUGAUGAUCUUUCUUGUUUCUAGCAUCGCAUACAUACCGAGUGUGCGGCUGAAGAAAAUUCUUAUUUAUUUAUUUUUUCUUAUUUCUCUCUUCUUUUUGUUAGUUUAUUACACAUGACAAAAGCUAUUUUCUGCCCCCUUUGGUCUCUACUGAUUUAUUGUUGCCUUUUCCCCCCUUUGUGUGAUGCCCUUAAGGACUCACGGGAAAGAUUCACGUGUUAAAAAAUAAAGGCAGCAGCCAAAGUCUAAACUCCGGGAACUGCUGGGAUAUUUUUCGUGUGUAGCAAGAGAAUCGGUUGAUGGCCGCCGAAUUCACCUCUGGGGCCCUUUUUUUCUUUUAAACUCUCCGUGGGUAUCUCAUCUUUGUGGCUCAUUCUUCACAGCCAGGCUCGAGACAAACUGUCCGUUUUUCUCCGGGAUAGAAAAAAAAGAAACGCACACACACAUGUGUUAUACCCGGUGCGAUGGAUGGAAGAAAGGCUAUAGGAUAUACCCACCUGAAAAGUGAUUUGCAUUUAGACACUUUAGGGAAUAUCUUUUUUUACGUUCAGAGUCGAGCACUUGUUAGAUUAUCGGCUUUUUUCCUCUUCGGAAUAUCUGAUUUCCUUUGAAACACUCGCGCGGAAUUCAAACUAAUAAAAAAAUGAAGGUUAAAAACAAAAAUUUAAAUUCAAAAUUUUAAAUUCGGCGCCAAAAAAAAAAGGUGAAGAAAUAAAAAUUCAUAUUUUUUUUAAAUUCGCCGCCAAAAAAAAAGAAGAAGGAAGAAGAGAUUUGAAUCACAAUGUUACGUAUUAUCAUCCAUAUAUGUAUGCGUGUGUGUGUGUGUGUAUGUCUUUUUAAAUGUCAGCGAAUGCGUCUGCCGGCGUCAGGUUCUUUUAAGUAUCCGAUUCAUCGCCUUCCAUUUUUUUCUCCACAUCCAGACGCCGAGUUAUGCGCUCGGUGAAAAAUUCCUUGAAAUGUAAUAAUGAGUCAGCUGAUGUGUCUGCUGGGAAGUCAAACACACAAGCCGGAGAAAAUGUUAUAUGUUAGUUAUUACAACCCGGUUUUCAAGGUCGGUCACAUCCAAGUCAAACAGACGCGACUAAUUGGUUAGAAUUGAAUAUUGAUACAAGAUAUUGGUCGAGUCAUUCGUCUGUCUCGACUGCACACACAACAAUUUAUACAGUCAACUUUUAUUUUAUUUGAUUCAUUUUGAUUUAAUUUUUAAAAAAGAAUUUUGAGUAGUUUUAAAAAAAUAUUGAGUUGUUGAAGCAGACUUGUAGACUACUACUACAAGGUGUAAAUAAAUAACAUUUUUACGGAUAUUUUAUUAAAGGUUAAUUGCGUGAUUUUUAUGAAAGUUUCAUUUCUUCCGGGUGUUGCGCAAUUUCCUUUUUCGCUCGGUGUGUGUGACGAAAGCAGCGUCGGUAAUUAUCUCUGCUGUGGUAAAUGUAGCGAUAGUAAAAGUUUUUACCCUUAAUCAAAGAUUCUAUCGAGAUUUUUUAAAGAAUGGAAAUCAACGAGGAUUCUUUUGAUGAGAUAACAAUCACACAGAAAUCGAAUAACAAUUAAGUUUUUAGAACAUUCAUGUGCGACUGGGCAAAAGAUUAAAGUGGCAAAAGUUUAAAGCAGAGUAUUUUUGAAACCUGGAGAUUGAAAUAAUUGAAUAACAAUUAAACCAUAAUAAAAUAGGGAAAAAAAAAAUGAAUGGGAUUCCACUCUGUAGACCAAUACUGGCAUCGCCAGAUCAAUGUUAGCUACAUCUAGAGUUCUGAGCCUACGCUUUUUAGGACUCAAAGAACCGCUGUAUUCAGUUAACCAUGGAUUAAGAAUUAACCGAUUGACUUACAAGUGCAACGUUGAAAGCCAUUUGAAUACCUAGAUGUGGGUCUUAGGAUUUUAAUGCAAUACUUCCAUGCUAACUUUCUUGCACCUCGUUAGUUUCAAUUGAAACCAACGAUAAUCCAUUCCAUUGACGAGUUACUAUCCCAUUUACUUUAAUCAGUUUAACUUGCGUCCGGGUGUGAAAGCAGCCAUGCUCCCCAGGGGAGUCGAACUCAGGUCCCCAAGUGCUCUUGCGAACACUAAGCGACGCCUCAUCCUACUCACCCACCCUUCACUUAUUAAAUAACCGAUUUUUUUUAAUCGUAAUUUUUUGAACAUAUUCCUGCUUAACUUUUUCAUUUUUUUAAAUUUUACGUGCUUUUUGCUCUUCUUUUUACGUCGAAAGAAAACAACAAAUUCAGGUGGCGUUAUGGGCUCUAUUUACUAUUUAGCAGUCGACAAAAAAUGCAGAAACAAAACAUGCCGAAUCCGAAGCCGAAAGUAGUAUAAGCAUGCUUUCAGAGUGAACGAGAUUCUCGAUUCGUUGUACGAGAGAGACUGGUUGUAACGUUUUGAAAAUGGACGACGACGAAAAGCAAGAGAAAAGAGAAUUGAGAAAUUGGAAGAGAAGGAUGAAAUAUCGAACAAGUGGCAAGUUCAAAGGAAACAUACAGACAUUCUGUUCCAGUGAUGAUGAAAAACCUCCUGUAAAGAAGAAGAAAAGAAGUGGAGUGAGUUGGAAAAAGAAUGUGGACCGUACAAUCAAUCCAGAAGAGUUACGUGGUCAAUUCGAAACAUCCAGCUAUUCCAGCAAUUAUUCAGAAGAAGCCGAGAUUCUAUUGGCUGAGAUGGAAAGACAGGAUGACGAGACAAAUGAAAAACACAAAGAAAAU
RNAcentral lists this long non-coding RNA (5937 nucleotides) under Daphnia pulicaria. RNAcentral describes it as "uncharacterized LOC124350555". The record is from RNAcentral. Lineage: Eukaryota; Metazoa; Arthropoda; Branchiopoda; Diplostraca; Daphniidae.